Molecule: ribosomal RNA, 54 nt
Filed under: Chloropicon mariensis
Lineage: Eukaryota; Viridiplantae; Chlorophyta; Chloropicophyceae; Chloropicales; Chloropicaceae
Description: partial Eukaryotic large subunit ribosomal RNA
Source: RNAcentral
GAUCUCAAAUCAGAUAGGAUUACCCGCUGAACUUAAGCAUAUCAAUAAGCGGAG